RNAcentral lists this ribosomal RNA (432 nucleotides) under Pseudomonas sp. RNAcentral's name for it is "bacterial SSU rRNA". It matches the Rfam family "Bacterial small subunit ribosomal RNA", at positions 75 to 502 of the family's 1533-position model. Lineage: Bacteria; Pseudomonadati; Pseudomonadota; Gammaproteobacteria; Pseudomonadales; Pseudomonadaceae. The record is from RNAcentral.
GGAGCUUGCUCCUGAAUUCAGCGGCGGACGGGUGAGUAAUGCCUAGGAAUCUGCCUGGUAGUGGGGGACAACGUUUCGAAAGGAACGCUAAUACCGCAUACGUCCUACGGGAGAAAGCAGGGGACCUUCGGGCCUUGCGCUAUCAGAUGAGCCUAGGUCGGAUUAGCUAGUUGGUGAGGUAAUGGCUCACCAAGGCGACGAUCCGUAACUGGUCUGAGAGGAUGAUCAGUCACACUGGAACUGAGACACGGUCCAGACUCCUACGGGAGGCAGCAGUGGGGAAUAUUGGACAAUGGGCGAAAGCCUGAUCCAGCCAUGCCGCGUGUGUGAAGAAGGUCUUCGGAUUGUAAAGCACUUUAAGUUGGGAGGGAAGGGCAGUAACUUAAUACGUUGCUGUCUUGACGUUACCGACAGAAUAAGCACCGGCUAACU